This 253-nucleotide ribosomal RNA is filed under the name uncultured bacterium. Its description in RNAcentral is "partial 16S ribosomal RNA". It matches the Rfam family "Bacterial small subunit ribosomal RNA", at positions 524 to 776 of the family's 1533-position model. The record is from RNAcentral.
UACGUAGGUGGCAAGCGUUGUCCGGAAUUAUUGGGCGUAAAGCGCGCGCAGGUGGUUUCUUAAGUCUGAUGUGAAAGCCCCCGGCUCAACCGGGGAGGGUCAUUGGAAACUGGGAAACUUGAGUGCAGAAGAGGAUAGUGGAAUUCCAAGUGUAGCGGUGAAAUGCGUAGAGAUUUGGAGGAACACCAGUGGCGAAGGCGACUGUCUGGUCUGUAACUGACGCUGAGGCGCGAAAGCGUGGGUAGCAAACGGG